UACGUAGGUGGCAAACGUUGUCCGGAUUUACUGGGUGUAAAGGGCGUGUAGCCGGGCUUACAAGUCAGAUGUGAAAUCCGGGGGCUCAACCCCCGAACUGCAUUUGAAACUGUAGGUCUUGAGUAUCGGAGAGGCAGGCGGAAUUCCUAGUGUAGCGGUGAAAUGCGUAGAUAUUAGGAGGAACACCAGUGGCGAAGGCGGCCUGCUGGACGACAACUGACGGUGAGGCGCGAAAGCGUGGGGAGCAAACAGG
This 253-nucleotide ribosomal RNA is filed under the name uncultured bacterium. RNAcentral's name for it is "partial 16S ribosomal RNA". It matches the Rfam family "Bacterial small subunit ribosomal RNA", at positions 524 to 776 of the family's 1533-position model. The record is from RNAcentral.